Small nucleolar RNA from Jaculus jaculus (lesser Egyptian jerboa), 143 nucleotides. The record is from Ensembl. NCBI's taxonomy places the organism in Eukaryota, Metazoa, Chordata, Mammalia, Rodentia, Dipodidae.
CUUCUGUGAUAACAUGGUAACAAGUCAAGGUCAUGUUCUACUCUUGGUCCUUGUCAGUGCCAUAUUCUGUGGUGCUGAGUAGGUGCUCCUUUAGCAAGAGUGUCUUAUUCCUUGACUGAGUUAGAGGCAUUUGUCUGAGAAGG